Molecule: ribosomal RNA, 755 nt
Filed under: uncultured bacterium
Lineage: Bacteria
Description: bacterial SSU rRNA
Rfam family: Bacterial small subunit ribosomal RNA
Source: RNAcentral
AGAGUUUGAUCAUGGCUCAGGACGAACGCUGGCGGCGUGCCUAAUACAUGCAAGUCGAGCGAAUCAUUAGGAGCUUGCUCCUGAUGGUUAGCGGCGGACGGGUGAGUAACACGUGGGCAACCUGCCUGUAAGACUGGGAUAACUUCGGGAAACCGGAGCUAAUACCGGAUAAUCCUUUUCCUCACAUGAGGAAAAGCUGAAAGACGGUUUCGGCUGUCACUUACAGAUGGGCCCGCGGCGCAUUAGCUAGUUGGUGAGGUAACGGCUCACCAAGGCGACGAUGCGUAGCCGACCUGAGAGGGUGAUCGGCCACACUGGGACUGAGACACGGCCCAGACUCCUACGGGAGGCAGCAGUAGGGAAUCUUCCGCAAUGGACGAAAGUCUGACGGAGCAACGCCGCGUGAACGAUGAAGGCCUUCGGGUCGUAAAGUUCUGUUGUUAGGGAAGAACAAGUACCGGAGUAACUGCCGGUACCUUGACGGUACCUAACCAGAAAGCCACGGCUAACUACGUGCCAGCAGCCGCGGUAAUACGUAGGUGGCAAGCGUUGUCCGGAAUUAUUGGGCGUAAAGCGCGCGCAGGCGGUUCCUUAAGUCUGAUGUGAAAGCCCCCGGCUCAACCGGGGAGGGUCAUUGGAAACUGGGGAACUUGAGUACUGAAGAGGAAAGCGGAAUUCCACGUGUAGCGGUGAAAUGCGUAGAGAUGUGGAGGAACACCAGUGGCGAAGGCGGCUUUCUGGUCAGUAACUGACGC